UACAGAGGGUGCGAACGUUGCUCGGAAUUACUGGGCGUAAAGCGCGUGCAGGCGGGACGAUAAGUCGGAAGUGAAAUCCCCGGGCUCAACCCGGGAACUGCUUUCGAAACUGCCGUCCUCGAGUACCGGAGAGGGUGGCGGAAUUCCUGGUGUAGAGGUGAAAUUCGUAGAUAUCAGGAGGAACACCGGUGGCGAAGGCGGCCACCUGGACGGUCACUGACGCUGAGACGCGAAAGCGUGGGGAGCAAACAGG
RNAcentral lists this ribosomal RNA (253 nucleotides) under uncultured bacterium. RNAcentral's name for it is "partial 16S ribosomal RNA". It matches the Rfam family "Bacterial small subunit ribosomal RNA", at positions 524 to 776 of the family's 1533-position model. The record is from RNAcentral.